GCAUUGUUUACUGUUGAACGACCAACGAACAGUAAUCUCAGAACUUCUCUAUGGAAUAUAUUUUUUUAAACAUUUGUUUUUCCUUUUUUUUGUCAUCAAGCCGGUGUGGUGUUCUGUGCCUGGCUGUGCUAAUUACAAGCAAGUGCAAAAAUUAGUUAUCUUUCACCGUUCUACCUACCAGAGAUUCACCCCGAUUCUGCCAGUGGCUUGUGGCUAUCAAGAAUGAUGCAGUGACCAAAGAUUAUCAGAGGGAUUUUCAGGCUGAACUGAUGGGGAAUCUAUUUUGACGACAGCUGAGAAGUGAUGCGAUACCAUAGAUUUUUUUCCUUCACAACAAAACUGAAGAUUCUCAAUUAGAGGUGGUACAGAAUCUGAUUCCACCAACAUGUUCUUCCAACCCCUAGCUCUGCACAAGGUGAAGGUUAUCUGGAGUCAUUCCACAAUGCCCUGCUGAAAACUACCCCAAAGCGGUGGAAUUUUGGGUACACAAGCAUGAGGGAGCGAACACACCUUGCGGUUAUAGAGCACAACAAGAUUGUGGGACAGAAACCAGCAAGGGACACU
This is a long non-coding RNA of Coregonus clupeaformis (lake whitefish), 564 nucleotides long. RefSeq lists it as uncharacterized. The transcript is spliced from 3 exons. The record is from RefSeq and is a predicted model, not a curated record. NCBI's taxonomy places the organism in Eukaryota, Metazoa, Chordata, Actinopteri, Salmoniformes, Salmonidae.